RNAcentral lists this ribosomal RNA (818 nucleotides) under uncultured bacterium. RNAcentral describes it as "bacterial SSU rRNA". It matches the Rfam family "Bacterial small subunit ribosomal RNA", at positions 8 to 814 of the family's 1533-position model. The record is from RNAcentral.
AGAGUUUGUUUCUGGCUCAGGAUGAACGCUAGCGACAGGCUUAACACAUGCAAGUCGAGGGGCAGCGGGGGAGUAGCAAUACUCCCGCCGGCGACCGGCGCACGGGUGAGUAACACGUAUGAAACCUGCCCGUAGCAGGGGGAUAAGCGGAAGAAAUUCCGUCUAAUACCGCGUAACAACCCAUGGAGGCAUCUCCGUGGGUUUAAAGGAAGCGAUUCCGGCUACGGAUGGUCAUGCGUCGCAUUAGCUUGUUGGCGGGGUAACGGCCCACCAAGGCGACGAUGCGUAGGGGUUCUGAGAGGAAGGUCCCCCACACUGGUACUGAGACACGGACCAGACUCCUACGGGAGGCAGCAGUGAGGAAUAUUGGUCAAUGGCCGCAGGGCUGAACCAGCCAAGUCGCGUGAGGGAUGACGGUCCUAUGGAUUGUAAACCUCUUUUGUCAGGGAGCAAAGGGCGCCACGUGUGGCGUUUUGCGAGUACCUGAAGAAAAAGCAUCGGCUAACUCCGUGCCAGCAGCCGCGGUAAUACGGAGGAUGCGAGCGUUAUCCGGAUUUAUUGGGUUUAAAGGGUGCGCAGGCGGAAUGUCAAGUCAGCGGUAAAAUUUCGGGGCUCAACCCCGUCGUGCCGUUGAAACUGGCGUUCUUGAGUGAGCGAGAAGUAUGCGGAAUGCGUGGUGUAGCGGUGAAAUGCAUAGAUAUCACGCAGAACUCCGAUUGCGAAGGCAGCAUACCGGCGCUCAACUGACGCUCAUGCACGAAAGCGUGGGUAUCGAACAGGAUUAGAUACCCUGGUAGUCCACGCAGUAAACGAUGAAU